This 307-nucleotide ribosomal RNA is filed under the name uncultured Pseudomonadota bacterium. RNAcentral's name for it is "bacterial SSU rRNA". It matches the Rfam family "Bacterial small subunit ribosomal RNA", at positions 29 to 351 of the family's 1533-position model. The record is from RNAcentral. Lineage: Bacteria; Pseudomonadati; Pseudomonadota.
AACGAACGCUGGCGGCAGGCCUAACACAUGCAAGUCGAACGAGAAGCCACCUUCGGGUGGUGGACAGUGGCAGACGGGUGAGUAACGCGUGGGAACGUGCCUUUCGGUUCGGGAUAACCCAGGGAAACUUGGGCUAAUACCGGAUACGCCCUUCGGGGGAAAGAUUCAUUGCCGAAAGAUCGGCCCGCGUCGGAUUAGCUAGUUGGUAGGGUAAAAGCCUACCAAGGCGACGAUGGGUAGGGGGUCCUGAGAGGGAGAUCCCCCCACACUGGUACUGAGACACGGACCAGACACCUACGGGAGGCAG